AUAAAGUGUGAUAUCACAAAAUUUGUAUCAACAUGUGGGGUGUGUAAGCAGGCUAAGACAGAACACAUCAGAUCACCUGGUUUGCUUGAGCCGUUAGCUGUUCCACGUCAUCCAUGGCACACAGUGACUUUGGACUUUAUCGGUGGAUUACCAGCUUCUCGGGGGUAUACUGGCAUCAUGGUGGUAGUUGACAAACUUACCAGGUAUGCUCAUUUUGUGCCUCUAACGCAUCCCUUCACAGAAAUCCAAGUGGCCUCUGCUUAUAUGACAAAUGUGUACAAAUAUCAUGGAUUGUCGUAUGCUUUGGUCUCGAAUCGUGACAAAAUCUUUACAAGCACCUUGUGAAGGGAGCUAUUUUAUCUGGCAGGAACCGAACUGCGCAUGUCAUCAGCGUAUCAUCCUCAGACUGAUGGCACGACGGAACGAGCGAAUCAAUGCUUGGAGUCUUACCUCCGCUGUUUUUCAUGCUUGCCCUCACCAUUGGUUCCAAUGGCUUCAUUUGGUAGAGUUCUGGUAUAAUACAACAUACCACUCACUCUCGGUGCGUCACCAUUUGAAACUCUGUAUGGGCAUCCUCCCUGUAAUUUUGGUAUCAUGGAUGCGGCAACAACGGUUUCUUCAGAUCUGCAAGACUAGAUGUACGAGCGCUCACUCAUGCUAGCUCUGCUCAAACAACAUCUGGAGCGUGCUCGCCAGCAUAUGAAAGAUCAAGCAGAUAAGCACCGAUCGGAGAGAUCCUUUGAAGUGGGAGAUUGGGUGUUUGUCAAACUUCAGUCAUAUGUGCAGGGCUCGGUGGCGCAACGGGCCAAUCAUAAACUUUCUUUUCGUUACUUUGGUCCUUUUCAGGUGAAGGCUCGUGUGGGCAGGGUGGCCUAUCGUCUCCUGUUGCCAACCACGACUAAGGUGCAUCCGGUCUUCCAUGUGAUUCUUCUUCGCGGAGCUCUUCCUCCGUCCAUGGAAGUGACGCUGGAGCUGCCAACACCCCCAGCUGUGCAUGUCAUGCCCUUUAUUCCAAAGCAAGUCUUGGCGUGUAGGUUCAUCACCAGAAGAGCGGCCAAGAUCCCUCAAGUUCUAAUCAAGUUGGCAUCGCAACCAAGCUCUCUGGCAACAUGGGAGGAUUACUUUGAGCUACAGAGUCGGUUUCCAGGAGCAGCGGCUUAG
This 1161-nucleotide ribosomal RNA is filed under the name Triticum aestivum (bread wheat). RNAcentral describes it as "partial small subunit ribosomal RNA". Lineage: Eukaryota; Viridiplantae; Streptophyta; Magnoliopsida; Poales; Poaceae. The record is from RNAcentral.